RNAcentral lists this ribosomal RNA (339 nucleotides) under Pheidole casta. RNAcentral describes it as "partial 12S ribosomal RNA". Lineage: Eukaryota; Metazoa; Arthropoda; Insecta; Hymenoptera; Formicidae. The record is from RNAcentral.
UUAUAAGUAAGUUUAAUUAAUUAGAGAUUAAAUGAAAUCAUUAAAUUAAAAAAAUUUGGCGGUAUUUUAAAUCAUUAGAGGAACUUGUUAAUUAAAUGAUAUUCCACGAAUAGAAUGUCCUAAUAAAAUUUUAUGUAUUGUUGUAGGAAAAUUAUUUUAAAAGAAGGAUAAUUAAAAUAUUUAAUUUAAUUAAAAUUCAAAUCAAAGUGUAGAAUUAUUAGGUUUAAAUGAGUUACAAUUUAAUAUAAUAUUAGAAUUAUUUUUUUAAUUAAAAUAAUGAAAGAGGAUUUAAAAGUAAAUUUGAAAAAAUUUUCAGAUUGAAAAGUUAUCUAAAAUAUG